Struthio camelus australis is the source of this 1752-nucleotide long non-coding RNA. The record is from Ensembl. Lineage: Eukaryota; Metazoa; Chordata; Aves; Struthioniformes; Struthionidae.
GUUUGAACUAGAUGUGAAGACAGUGGGGAGCUAGAGGAAGAAAAGCAGGAGUAAGGAAAGCNNNNNNNNNNNNNNNNGAUAAAAAAAGCUAAGUAUUUGAAGCAGGAAUUAAUUGACCAUGGCAUAAAUGAUCAUUAGGACGGAAAGGAAGGAGCUGAGUACUUAACGUCUGAGGGAUCAGAAACACAAGUUCAUACACAUUGGCUACAGCGGAAGCAGAAAGAAGAGCUUGGUGGGCAAGAGGAAAGUUGGAGGUGUAAACAAGCGUAUUCAGAGAAGUGGAAAGGGGUAUCAACUAAAAAAAGCAGCCUAACUCUGUUGCGUGUUACGGCUAUAUUGUGCUACUCCCACAGUCCUAGAUAGUCAUGCCUCCUCUCCCGGCUUCCCCUGAAUGUAAUCUGGUCACCGUCCAUACCUCUGUUGGCUGCCUAUGUUGGCACCAUGAAUAAGUAAUGAGAAUCACAUGCCUGGGCUACUCUACUCCACUAUGCCACUAGAAAGUGUCACUUUGACUGUAAUCUUUCUAUGUCCCAGUUUCUUAGAAAUGUGUUUACCUUCUUCUUAGAUGUGUUACAUGGGUAAGUUAAUUAUUGUCCAUGAAAUACUUUGAUGAAGUUGAUAUGGUGACGUAAAUUAUAGUGAAUUCUUAUUAUAGUCAAGCUGGAGUAUUAUCUUUCAUAGAAAUGUAAAAUUGGGUGAAUCUUUGCAGAACUCUUGACAAUGGCUUUGAAAUUGUUACGCUGUAAUUAAACAGGCAGUGUCCUACUAUACCAGGCAGAAUUAGGCUACUAAAAAGUGCAUCAAUAGCCCUAGAUUGUAAUAUUAAUAAAUGACCUCCAUUACAGAAGGCCCUAUGUAAUCAGAGAGUGGUCUGUGUUCUAGCUAUGCCACUGUCUCGGAUUCCUGCAUCGCCCUGAGGUGUGUUAGGACUGAACCAUACAUUUCUAAGAGGCCAUGGAUACAGAUAUAUGUCAUGCCUGUACCUGGCUACAUUUGUACGGAUAUUCGGGAAUCCAGAAGAGCCAAAAAUACAAACAUGAGAGUAUCUUCAAAGAGCCUGGCAUUAGGGAGGCAGCAAGUUCUACAAGUGCAGCCUUCCUUCUACAUACACAGCAAUUGCAUUUCUCGGGUUCAGCUUUACCCAGACAUCCUUCAUCUGACACUGAUUUUCGUUACGCAUUAUAAAGAGAUAAUCCUACUUAUAUAUCCUGGCAAAGAGACAGAGCUGAGUAUCAUCUGUAUACUGCUUUUGUUUGAGUUGUCUAAUAAAUACUUCAACGGCUUCAAGAAUGAGGGACGGUUCCAAGAGGGGCACUUCUCGGAGAGGAAGAACAUUUGUCCGCUGGAAUCCUUUGGUUUUGCUGUACUCUUCACGGCUGUUUGGGAAAAAGGGUAGCAGUGCCUUGUCGUAACAAGUAAUGAAAGUUGUAGACAGUUGGGCGGCUGUGGCUGCACUUUAGCAAUGCAUAGGAGGAGGUAACUGCUCAACCUGUCAACCACUGUACUUGGGUCCUACAGGUACCGGGCCUAGAGAAGGUAUGUUAAGUAGCAGUUAUCUUUUAUGAACAAAAAUACUAAGUAACUUGUUCAAAAUCCUAACCAGUCCAGGACAGAGCCACAGACUAAAUCCAAGAGCUCUGAGAAGCAUCCAAGAGCUUUGAGUAAGAAAACGCUGGGAGGCUGCUCAUGAAAGAUCUUGGAAAAAAAAAAAGAAAAUUUAUGCUUGCCCUGAUGUAUGUUUGAAACGUUUUU